RNAcentral lists this long non-coding RNA (202 nucleotides) under Nicotiana benthamiana. RNAcentral's name for it is "long non-coding RNA (NBEN_LNC017039)". Lineage: Eukaryota; Viridiplantae; Streptophyta; Magnoliopsida; Solanales; Solanaceae. The record is from RNAcentral.
UCAAAAUGAAAUGCUGAAAGAAGUAAACAUGGAACCUAGGAGCACAACGAGCACGACUUUUAAUACAUGAUAUGCUUUGCAUGUAGUGGUCCUAAACAUGAGUUCUAAUGCAGAUACAUGUGAAUAUAAACCUAAAGCAUAUUUUCUACCGAUUGAUAUUGACAACAUGUAUAGCUACCCUCCCCUUUACACUAGCUAACCC